Molecule: long non-coding RNA, 1868 nt
Organism: Mercenaria mercenaria
Lineage: Eukaryota; Metazoa; Mollusca; Bivalvia; Venerida; Veneridae
Exons: 3
Source: RefSeq, a predicted model, not a curated record
CCUUAACAGCAAUGAAGUGUAUACCUCAAAAGACGUGACUACAGCAAUAAACAUCAAUAUGUGGAUAAACUGACGCAGAACGCAAACUCACUAGACAUGUCUCCGAAUAAAAAUUUCAACAACGAAACUGUCAGUCAUGACAAUAGUAACGACCAUGUGCCUACAAAUGUUUAUGAUAGAUAAAGAUGAAAACUGGCAACGGAAAUCCUCUAAGUUCUGUUAAUUUGGCAUAUAGAUGAAGGUAUCUACCAGAAGUCUGGAAAUAGUAUUAUGUAAUAUUUACUGAUAUUACAUAUUUAACCAUUCUAAAUGAAAUAUUCUCACACGAAAUCAGUCUUUAAGUAAGAAAAUAUUGUCAAUUACUCCAUGAAAUUCCUUGCUAAUAUCCAAUUAUUGUAAGCCCACGAAAUUACUUUUGCUGCUUAAUAAAGAGUCAUUUCCUCUUGUAAGACGAUUUCAUCUCAUUUGCUGAAGUAUUCAAAAUAUUGCAUUAAUGUACGGAUGACAGUAUAUGUAAGACGUAAGUUUGGUGCAAGUCUUCCAAAAUCAUUGUUUUUAAGAAAUUACAAGAUAUAUCAAAAUGUAUAUUUGGAUAUUUGUAUGAACUGUUUACGAUGUUUAAAUGUUAGUGUUUUUUUCCCAGCAGAAUAUAUUUCUGUUCCCUAUCUAUGAAAAAUACUGUUUUGUGGCAUCAGAGUCCCCUUUGUAUGAUCAUUUGAAACAAAUUGAUAAAGAGUUAAGACUAAACUUGCUUUGGACCUUUAAUUGAAAUUAAAAUUCAAUCAGAAAUAAUGUUGCUAAAGUGAUAUGACUGGUUUAUGUGAUGUCUAUGUAUUUUCUACAAAAAUUAGUAUGACACAAGUGUAAUAACACUUUAACGUUGACGUCGUUGAAUUUUUCAAAUUAAGUCUGCCUAUAAUUGUUAAAGAAAGAGGAGAAAUGUUAAAAACUUUAUGUUUAAUCGGGAAAAAAUAACAUGUUACAAAACGAAUGUCACACUUGUGCCUUACCACAUUGAAUUAAGCUCAUUGAAUGAAAGGGCUAAAUGAUUUUCAGAGCCUUGCGUUUUUACAGUUCGUUUUUCGAUAUGAAAACACACUCAGCUUAAAUGUGAACUAAUUUUUGUUUGUCCUAAAUGUCACUUUCUCUGUACAGUAAUAAGACGUUUCCCCGGCAGGAAGGCUCUUAUUAAUACAAAAAAAGGAUAAGAGUAGUAUAUUACCCACUUCCGCUCUGUCAAUGUAAUAAAAAGCAGUAUAUAUUUACCACUUCCGCUUUGUCUGUAGAAUAAAUUUCUUUAUUUUAUGCUAACUAAUGAAAUACUGUAUUCUAUCAGUUAAAUAUUUUUAUAUCUCAUCAUUCACACUGUGAAAAUAUGAAAUUUAUAUUUUCACACUGUUAGAGAUACAGCUCCGCCCCCUCAUACAUUGUGUAUGAAUUUUAAAUUAUUUGCUUAAAACAGGAUGAAAAUUGUAGUCGCACUUUGUUCUUUAUAGUAUAUUUCUCGAUUCAAAUUCUUUUACUUAAUGAGAAUUGCAUAACGUUAUGCAGCAAAAAAAAAUAAAAUAAAAUGGAACUUUAUGUUGUGUGCGUCUUUCUAACGUCACAACACGUCUGACGUCAUGUCUGUUUACGAGCGUCUGUUUCCCGCGCUGAAAUUAAAAAUUGUUGCAAAAUGCACAUCUCAACGUAAUUGAGCAUAUUAAGAUAAAAAGAAAAUUUGUUUGUUUUUCGUGAAUAUGGAAUAUACCUCACCUCAAAGUGAGAAAAUGUUCACAUUUUCACUCGCGCUACGCGCUCGUGGAAGUAUUUUGAAUUUUCUCACUUCUCAGUGAGAUAUAUUCCAUAUUCACUAAAAAAAAACCCAA